GGAGGCGAGAGGGGCGAGGCGUGCACGGGAGAGGGCGAGUGUGUGAGGGGCAGUUUCCGCCUCCACCUCCGCCUCCGCCAACUUCUUCGGCCAGAGAAAAAAAAAAAAAAAAAAAAAAAAAAAAAAAAAAAAAAAAAAAAAAAAAAAAAACACGAGAAAAAAAGAGGAGAGAGAAAGGUACAAGAAUAUUUUGGUCAGCUUUUUAAAAAUUCGAUCCGAAUCUGUAAAAUCGAGAAAGGUGGCCCAGUUUUACAAAAGCACAAAACUAGUAAAUUUUUUUAUGCAAAUUAGCCUAUAAAUAAUGACCUAUGGAAGGAAUAUAAAUUGUUUACAA
This 334-nucleotide long non-coding RNA is filed under the name Ananas comosus (pineapple). RNAcentral's name for it is "long non-coding RNA (ACOM_LNC016971)". Lineage: Eukaryota; Viridiplantae; Streptophyta; Magnoliopsida; Poales; Bromeliaceae. The record is from RNAcentral.